RNAcentral lists this long non-coding RNA (659 nucleotides) under Heterocephalus glaber (naked mole-rat). RNAcentral's name for it is "lncRNA (ENSHGLG00000050415.1)". Lineage: Eukaryota; Metazoa; Chordata; Mammalia; Rodentia; Bathyergidae. The record is from RNAcentral.
CCGGAAGCGGAAGAGUCUGCGGCUGAAAGCCAGGCGAUGAGGAUGAAGAUGAGCUCUUUUGAAUGAACAGAAGCAGCAGCUUCUCAUUUCCGCUUUAUAACAUCAAGGUGAGGAUUCGGCCUAGAGUGGAUCUCCCUAGCUCUAGACCAUGAAAUUGCUGAGCCAGUUAAGCUUCUCUUAAGCAAACUUCUCAAGUUGACCCAAUCAACAAUCACACUUGGGAUUACAGGUAGAUAAGAACCUAAAGAUUAAAAUCAGAGAGAACUGCAAAGAAGAUCAGAAAUUUAAUAUAUCGGGAAGAUCAAGGCCCUCAAUUGUUUAUGGAGCCUGAUAGAAGUUUCAUCAGGUGCUACUGACUCUUAGGACUCAGAAGGUUCCCCUCUCUCCUGUGUUUGAGCUGUUCCAGUUCUCAGCCUGAACUUCGCACCCCUCAUACAGUGGCCUGGGGAUUUCUGAAUCUGUCACACCAUGAGCAAGCAGAAGAGGAAGAGCAAUAUUUCUGGACUAUUCAUCAAGACAUCUCAUUCCACAAGCAGCAUCUGACUUUGUUAAGAAACAAAAAGGCAUUCAACCAGAAGCCAGAGGCAACAUGAUUUAUGGGGUUGGAAGAAUCAUUGUUUUAACCAUCUCAAAAUAGAAUCUUCUCUAUAAGAGCAAGG